GAUGAACGCUGGCGGCGUGCCUAAUACAUGCAAGUCGAGCGAACAGACGAGGAGCUUGCUCCUCUGACGUUAGCGGCGGACGGGUGAGUAACACGUGGAUAACCUACCUAUAAGACUGGGAUAACUUCGGGAAACCGGAGCUAAUACCGGAUAAUAUAUUGAACCGCAUGGUUCAAUAGUGAAAGACGGUUUUGCUGUCACUUAUAGAUGGAUCCGCGCCGCAUUAGCUAGUUGGUAAGGUAACGGCUUACCAAGGCGACGAUGCGUAGCCGACCUGAGAGGGGGUGCGGCCACGGGGAAAUUGAGACGGGGUCGGGCCCCGACGGGGGGGAGGCAGUGGGAAGUUUCCCGCAAGGGGCAAAACCUGGACGGAGCACCGCGGCGGGGGUAAGGAGGGUCUGGGGACGGUAAAACUCUUUUUUGGGGAAAAACAAAUGGUGAAGGAAACUAGGCACGUUGAGGGGAACCAAAAAAAAAAGCCCGGGGCAAACAGUG
Molecule: ribosomal RNA, 495 nt
Filed under: uncultured bacterium
Lineage: Bacteria
Description: partial 16S ribosomal RNA
Rfam family: Bacterial small subunit ribosomal RNA
Source: RNAcentral